UAAAUGGGUUAUUCUUGCCCAGGGCUGUCCGUCAAACCGUGAGAUGAAUACACGAGAGGCUCCCAAGACUGCAUCAAUCGGCCGAAUUGCGUAAGACCGACGGCAAUGUACAUCUUUGAGAGUAUUGUCGCACAGGGAACAAGCAAAUCCGGAGAAUGGGGUGAAACUCCUCUGAAAUCCGGUCCGCUUCAUUUGACGGGAAGCCCAAACAAACUGAAACACGCUGGCAGUUGUCGCGUUGGCGGUAUAUUACGUUUGA
This 259-nucleotide ribozyme is filed under the name unclassified sequences. Its description in RNAcentral is "Hairpin ribozyme 2 from viruses-like metatranscriptomes". It matches the Rfam family "Hairpin ribozyme 2 from viruses-like metatranscriptomes". The record is from Rfam by way of RNAcentral.